CUGUGCCCUCCGAGUCGAGCUUCUGCCCUCUACGUGCCGAUAGCAAUCCCUGUAAUGCGGCUCCUGGGAGUCUCUCAAUCCUGUUAGUCCAGAGCCUUUUCACUUCUCCGGCCCCUCAAUGCGUCUCUCUGACCCCGUUAUUGAGGGGGUACUGAAAGUGCUGCCUCCCAGCCCGCCGCCAUGUUGGAUCCUCUUCUUGCUGAUUUCUAACAGUGAUGUAUUUAAGACAAUUGAUCUCUGAGAAUAAUUCACCUAAUGCAUUAAUAUCUGAUCUCACUGAAGUUGGAAAUCAAAAUCUUGCAUUUUCUCUCAGAGGUUGUUCAAAAUGAUGACUUAUUAAACAUACCAUGAACAUAAAAUAUUAGAAUCCAAAUAAAAGUGCUUAAGUCAUGCUUAUGGGCCAAAGUUAAUAUAUUUCACAAUUUUAAACCCCUAUUCACUGAACAUGUGUGCACUUUUAUGGUGCUUUCAUUAAUGUGUUUAUUGAUGCUAAGUCUAUCACAAAACUGCAUUAUGCUUCCAAACCUUAGGGAUAUGAGGAAAUAUCUUUUCAGAUUUUGAUUCUCACCUAAGAGCCUUAGACAAACUACUCAAUAAGAAUCUUCCACCAGGAGCUGGGGUUGUGGUUCAGUGGUAGAGCACUUGCCUACCAUGUAUGAGGCACUGGCUUCAAUUCUCAGCACCACAUAUAAAUAAAUGAAUAAAAUAAAAGGUCCAUCAACAACUAAAAAGAAAAUUAAAAGAAAAGAAUCUUGCAUCAGUCAAAAAGAGAUGACAAUGAAGUGGGGAAAAUAUGUAAAAUGAUAAAAUGUCCAAGCCCUAUCUCCUUUCCUGAAAAUCUGUGGUGUCAUAAGUUUCAGUUGUAUAACAUGAACAAGGGCUAGAGGUCUGCUCUUGCUGUACAACAUACUGCCUAGGUUAACAUCUAUGUGUAGAAUAUUCGCUGUUAAGGGUUAUUAACUUUAAAAAAUAAAAAUAAAGGGACACAGGAAACUUUUGCAAAUAAUGGGCUUGUAUAUUACUUUGUGGAAUAUCUUCUUAUGAACUGAGGGUAAAAGAGAAAGUUGUUCAAUUUGUAUAUUUUUUGUUGUUGUUUAUCUAAAAGAUGGAAGUGUUAAAUUUUCAUCUGUUUUUGGCCAUAAUUAAAUAUAAGAGUGAUAUGCACAGAAUCUUACCAGUACUGAACGUAAAGCCUAAAAUGAUAUGAAAAAAAAUAAGAAUUUGAGUAAAUUCUAAGUUCCAAAGUUUAACACUAUUGCCAUUGGAACAUGACCAAAUUUUUUUUAAUUGUGUUGGUUUUCCUUAGAUAUACAUGACAGUAGAA
RNAcentral lists this long non-coding RNA (1324 nucleotides) under Marmota monax (woodchuck). The record is from RNAcentral. Lineage: Eukaryota; Metazoa; Chordata; Mammalia; Rodentia; Sciuridae.